Molecule: long non-coding RNA, 814 nt
Filed under: Homo sapiens (human)
Lineage: Eukaryota; Metazoa; Chordata; Mammalia; Primates; Hominidae
Description: long independently transcribed non-coding RNA 2755 (LINC02755)
Source: RNAcentral
GUGCUUCUAAAUACAGACUGGGCCCCUGGUGAACAAGUUGGCUUAAGUGGGUGUCCCAGACUCAAGCUGCGCUCAGCCUUCAUCACAGUUCACAGAGUCCUAAGCCAAGAGUCAGCCUUGAGUUGCUGCUAGAGACCACAGAUACUCUGAAUUCCAACUUUAAUUGGCCUUCUGAGAAGACAAAGAGCCACAGGUCCCCAACAGGUCCUAGCUACUUCCUUCAGUCCCAAGACAGAUACAGAUGGAGGCAGUAGCAUGGUAACACCUCAAAAUCAAGCAUCCAGCAGCUGAAUCCGAAAAACACAAGGAACAAGUUGCAACAAAGAAGAUAAGCUGUGGAAGCUAGGAUUUCAGAAAAUUUAGAUUUAAGGACAAGUGCCAAUCAAGGAUAAAGCUGAAACUGCAGAGAGCCCGGCAUUCAGAUUUCCAUUCUGCUGUAAAUUUAAUGCAAAUCUUCAGUUCAAGUGCACAGAAUUUGUUUAAAAACCCUGAAGAUGCUUUCAUGAUCUACACAUCUGUCAUUGCUGUUGCUUAUCACCGUUCCUGGGAAUCUGGCACUUCAUCAGCCGUCUUUCUUUCCAUGUAAUGAACACUGUUCUCCCUGACUCAGGUGUCAUCACCAUGAGAAGGACAUACCACCCCAGAAUAAGGAGAGGCAAAUGGAUUAGACUUGAAAUGAACCCAGAGCCUGGAUUCAAGCACAGCCAAACCCAGCUUGGAUCUCAUAAUUCCCAGUCCUGUGCAGAAGAACCGUGAGACCUACAAUAUAUUUCCAUACCUUCUUUCAAGAAAUAAAUGCUCAAUUUUGUAAGAC